AUGGCGAAAGUCUUCACAGGGGAGGAAGAAAAUGCAGCAAGGUAUAAGAAUAAAGAGGAGAUGUAGAUGGGCUGGCUAGUAUUCGUGGGAUCAGAGAAGACACAAGAGUGUGGGUUUGUUGUGUUGGUGGGUGUUCUUGAAGGGUACACAAUCUGAGAGAUGCGAGCUGCUUGCUAGCAUAAAGUCAAAUGUGUUACUGGGAGUUUAUGGUAUAUAUCGAGCUGCUCCUAGAAUGAUAAUGGAGGUCCGUGCAUGCAGGAGGAGUCAAGCUAGAAUGUCAAUGGAGGUCCGUGCAGGCAAUCUUUCAAUAUUAAAAAAAUGCAAUAAAUCGGGAACGAUAUGAAGAUAAGAUUUGGCCAAUGGAGGUCGAUUGGUCUGCGCACCAAUGAUUCUUAUAUCUGAAAACGGGCAUGGAGACAGCUACUGCGGUAACUUCCAACCCUCUGCAGUCUCGUAUAUGUAUUUAUUUGCAUAUAUUUUCAUAUUUUUUAUUUAUUUUAAUGAA
This is a long non-coding RNA of Populus nigra (black poplar), 505 nucleotides long. RefSeq lists it as uncharacterized. Lineage: Eukaryota; Viridiplantae; Streptophyta; Magnoliopsida; Malpighiales; Salicaceae. The record is from RefSeq and is a predicted model, not a curated record. The transcript has 2 exons.